This 429-nucleotide ribosomal RNA is filed under the name Bacillota bacterium. RNAcentral describes it as "Firmicutes bacterium partial 16S ribosomal RNA". It matches the Rfam family "Bacterial small subunit ribosomal RNA", at positions 355 to 776 of the family's 1533-position model. The record is from RNAcentral. Lineage: Bacteria; Bacillati; Bacillota.
UGGGGAAUUUUGGACAAUGGGCGAAAGCCUGAUCCAGCAAUGCCGCGUGUGUGAAGAAGGCCUUCGGGUUGUAAAGCACUUUUUUCCGGAAAGAAAACGCCGUGGUUAAUACCCGUGGCGGAUGACGGUACCGGAAGAAUAAGCACCGGCUAACUACGUGCCAGCAGCCGCGGUAAUACGUAGGGUGCAAGCGUUAAUCGGAAUUACUGGGCGUAAAGCGUGCGCAGGCGGUCCGCUAAGACAGAUGUGAAAUCCCCGGGCUUAACCUGGGAACUGCAUUUGUGACUGGCGGGCUAGAGUAUGGCAGAGGGGGGUAGAAUUCCACGUGUAGCAGUGAAAUGCGUAGAGAUGUGGAGGAAUACCGAUGGCGAAGGCAGCCCCCUGGGCCAAUACUGACGCUCAUGCACGAAAGCGUGGGGAGCAAACAGG